GAAAGAAACCCCACCCAAACAAAAGAAUCUUUUAGACAUUCAAAUGUAUUUUUAACAUUUUAUUCACAAUAUAUAACAUUCAAUAUGUAGUACAACCUCACUGUGUAAUAAGAAAAAUGAUUCACAAAAUUACCUUCAAAUACAACAUGAAGAAUGUGUAAUAAAAAAUCCACCAAUGAAAUUGUAUUACAUCUGUGAGAUGUGUUUAAAUGAGAAGACAAAAGUAUUCUUUAUAAUAUAAUUCAUUCUAUGACUGUAUUUAUAAUUACAAUGCAAAUAUCAAGGCAAUUCAUUUUCUUCAUCUGACAGGGGUAAAACCUGCAAAAGUGGGUUUAAAUUUGUACAAGAUAGCUUAUAUGAUUAUCAAACAUGUGUGAGCAUUUAUCUGAGUAAUAAUUAUCUUUCAUCUCAUUCGAAAACCAUUUCUGUAUUUUUACCAUUCACGUUACAAAGGCAGCUUUAAUUGAAUAAUAAAAAUAAUAACCAGGAUUUAGCCUGUUCUCCAUAGAGCACUGUAAUAUCACAGCAAUUAUGAAACCAAUGUGUCCAUGCAAGAAUGCACUUAACAGUACACCACACUUCAUGUGCAAAAUCACCCUUAGCAGCAGGUAUUGGUGCAUUGCAUAAGGGCUUUUCAUGGUGCACGAAAAUAUGUUUUGCCAAGUGUGUUCUUGCACCGAAACAACAAAACAAAUAGCAAUGAGUCGAAGAAAUGGAAUAAAUUAACAUGUACAUCAAUAACACAAAAUCACUUCAAUUCAAAUGUGUUUUGUAAAGCAAAUAGAGUACCUGUAUAUAGCAUUGAAUUAGUUUCUACAAAAUGAAAGAAAAUCUAUCUUCCAUAUAAAAUUAAAUCAUUUAGGAAGGCACCUUUUCAUGUUUAGAAAUAGAAGUAAUUAAGUUAUCAGAAAUUAACAACAUUCCUGUAUUGCCCCCCCCCCUGACUGAAAAUUUAGACUUCAGAAUAGAAUAUGAUGGAUUAUUAAUAAAUAAUGAAUUUCAAUCUUUCUUUUACAACAUAUAAUAGAACAGCUUGAAUAACUUUUUUUUUCUGAACAUCUAUGACUGACACAGACAAUCAACAUUCCAAUCAUCUGCAUAAUUACAAAUCGUCUUAAAACCUGUGAUCACAAAAUAGUCCAAGUUCAAAAAAUACUUUAAAAACAUCAAAAUGUACAUAAUAUCUAACAUUCCACAUACAUGUACUAUACUUAAUUUGACAAGAUAUGAUCAGAUUCUUCAUAGAAGUUUCAUUUCAUUUCAUAUUUUUUGGGGACAUAAUUUUGUAACAGCAAUCAUUAUCACCCACUUGUCAAGACUCAUUGGCCCGAAUUCACAAAAGUGAUGUGAUAUACACGUUAUUCCAAGUCAUGGGUGCUGAAAAAAAAAAUGUGAUUUGAGAAAACUACUAUGAAAGAGAGAAC
Lytechinus variegatus (green sea urchin) is the source of this 1424-nucleotide long non-coding RNA. RefSeq lists it as uncharacterized. The transcript has 2 exons. The record is from RefSeq and is a predicted model, not a curated record. NCBI's taxonomy places the organism in Eukaryota, Metazoa, Echinodermata, Echinoidea, Temnopleuroida, Toxopneustidae.